This 239-nucleotide ribosomal RNA is filed under the name uncultured bacterium. RNAcentral describes it as "partial 16S ribosomal RNA". It matches the Rfam family "Bacterial small subunit ribosomal RNA", at positions 524 to 762 of the family's 1533-position model. The record is from RNAcentral.
CACGUAGGGCGCAAGCGUUGUCCGGAAUUAUUGGGCGUAAAGAGCUCGUAGGCGGUCUGUUGCGUCCGCUGUGAAAACUCGGGGCUUAACCCCGAGCCUGCAGUGGAUACGGGCAGACUAGAGGUAGGUAGGGGAGAAUGGAAUUCCCGGUGUAGCGGUGAAAUGCGCAGAUAUCGGGAGGAACACCGGUGGCGAAGGCGGUUCUCUGGGCCUUACCUGACGCUGAGGAGCGAAAGCGU